RNAcentral lists this ribosomal RNA (126 nucleotides) under Clostridium argentinense. RNAcentral's name for it is "partial 23S ribosomal RNA". It matches the Rfam family "Bacterial large subunit ribosomal RNA", at positions 1 to 125 of the family's 2925-position model. The record is from RNAcentral. Lineage: Bacteria; Bacillati; Bacillota; Clostridia; Eubacteriales; Clostridiaceae.
AGGUCAAGCUACAAAGGGCGCAGGGUGAAUGCCUUGGCACUAGGAGCCGAAGAAGGACGUGAUAAGCUGCGAUAAGCUUUGGGUAGACGCAAAUAGUCUGUGAUCCAAAGAUUUCCGAAUGGGGGA